AACAAAAUUUGCCUAUUACCACAUAUUUUGCUAAAGUAAAAUUUGCCUAUUCUCUCUAUCAUUUUUUCUCUCUGUCCUAGAUCUAGGGCUUUCUCUCUGUCUCCUCAUGCUCCUUGAGAGAUUCACUAGGACGAAGAUAGUUCGGUUAAGUUGCACAAAUCGGCGGGGUUACGAGACCGAGGAGUGAAGAAGGAUCAAGAUCAUUGGGACCGUGAGAGGGACUGGGACCAAGACCGAGACCGAUUGAGUCAGAGCAAGAGAAAACCAGCUGAUGAAAUGAUA
Camellia sinensis is the source of this 282-nucleotide non-coding RNA. The record is from RefSeq and is a predicted model, not a curated record. NCBI's taxonomy places the organism in Eukaryota, Viridiplantae, Streptophyta, Magnoliopsida, Ericales, Theaceae.